GACGAACGCUGGCGGCGUGCCUAAUACAUGCAAGUCGAGCGGACGAAUCGAAAGCUUGCUUUUGAUUCGUUAGCGGCGGACGGGUGAGUAACACGUGGGCAACCUGCCCUGUAGACGGGGAUAACACCGAGAAAUCGGUGCUAAUACCGGAUAACACGAAAUGUCGCAUGACGUUUCGCUGAAAGACGGCGCAAGCUGUCGCUACAGGAUGGGCCCGCGGCGCAUUAGCUAGUUGGUGAGGUAACGGCUCACCAAGGCGACGAUGCGUAGCCGACCUGAGAGGGUGACCGGCCACAUUGGGACUGAGAUACGGCCCAGACUCCUACGGGAGGCAGCAGUGGGGAAUAUUGCACAAUGGGCGGAAGCCUGAUGCAGCAACGCCGCGUGCGGGAUGACGGCCUUCGGGUUGUAAACCGCUUUCGCCUGUGACGAAGCGUGAGUGACGGUAAUGGGUAAAGAAGCACCGGCUAACUACGUG
Molecule: ribosomal RNA, 478 nt
Filed under: uncultured bacterium
Lineage: Bacteria
Description: partial 16S ribosomal RNA
Rfam family: Bacterial small subunit ribosomal RNA
Source: RNAcentral